RNAcentral lists this unclassified non-coding RNA (582 nucleotides) under Hevea brasiliensis (rubber tree). Lineage: Eukaryota; Viridiplantae; Streptophyta; Magnoliopsida; Malpighiales; Euphorbiaceae. The record is from RNAcentral.
ACUGCCCUCUCCUUGCAUAACCUGUAAUUAAAGCAGACCAAGCAACAACAUCCCUUUCGGUGAAAUCAUCAAAAAUUGAUCUAGCUAUUCCCAAAUCUCCACAUUUAGCAUGAUGAUGGAUAAGGGUACUCCUUACAAACAUAUUUUCUUCAAACCCAUAUUUGGCAACCUUCCCAUGAAUACAAAGACCUGUAUUUCUCCAUCCGAGCCUAGUACAAGCCUUAAGCAAGAAAGAAAACGUGCACUUAUCAGGCUUUACACCACGACUUUCCAUCUGUAAAUAGAGUAGAAUUGUUUUUGAAGGAUUUUGACUUUGAGCUGAGCCUCUCAUCAUAGUGUUCCACAUAAAGAUGUCCGGUUCGGCAAUUUGAGCGAACAUUUGGUGGGCAUAGUCUAUGCUGCCAGAAAGAGCAACCGCGGAGGCAAAUAUGAGCUCCCUUAAGGCGGAUGAGCAUGAAUUGAAGCCUUUAGUGAUAAGGGAAGCAUGAAUUUGUUUUAAACAGCGAAGAUUAGUGCAGUUUUGCCAUAGGCUUAACCGCCGAUGGCGGGUGGUGCUAAUGUCAUUAGUUCUCUUCCUUAUCA